GACGAACGCUGGCGGCGUGCUUAACACAUGCAAGUCGAACGGAAAGGCCCUUCGGGGUACUCGAGUGGCGAACGGGUGAGUAACACGUGGGUGAUCUGCCCUGCACUUUGGGAUAAGCCUGGGAAACUGGGUCUAAUACCGAAUAGGACCACGCGCUUCAUGGUGUGUGGUGGAAAGCUUUUACGGUGUGGGAUGGGCCCGCGGCCUAUCAGCUUGUUGGUGGGGUAAUGGCCUACCAAGGCGACGACGGGUAGCCGGCCUGAGAGGGUGACCGGCCACACUGGGACUGAGAUACGGCCCAGACUCCUACGGGAGGCAGCAGUGGGGAAUAUUGCACAAUGGGCGCAAGCCUGAUGCAGCGACGCCGCGUGAGGGAUGACGGCCUUCGGGUUGUAAACCUCUUUCAAUAGGGACGAAGCGCAAGUGACGGUACCUAUAGAAGAAGCACCGGCCAACUACGUG
RNAcentral lists this ribosomal RNA (462 nucleotides) under uncultured bacterium. RNAcentral's name for it is "partial 16S ribosomal RNA". It matches the Rfam family "Bacterial small subunit ribosomal RNA", at positions 28 to 507 of the family's 1533-position model. The record is from RNAcentral.